GACGAACGCUGGCGGCAUGCCUAAUACAUGAAAGUCGAACGAGAUCUUCGGAUCUAGUGGCAGACGGGUGAGGAACACGUGGGAACAUCCCUUUCAGUUCGGACUAACGUUGGGAAACUAACGCUAAUACCGGAUACGUCCUACGGGAGAAAGAUUUAUCGCUGGAAGAUUGGCCCGCGUCUGAUUAGCUAGUUGGUGAGGUAAUGGCUCACCAAGGCUACUAUCAGUAGCUGAUCUGAGAGGAUGAUCAGCCACAUUGGGACUGAGACACGGCGCAAACUCCUACGGGAGGCAGCAGUAGGGAAUUUUGAGCAAUGGGCGAAAUCCUGACGCAGCAACACCGCGUGAGCGAUGAAGCCCUUCGGGGUGUAAAGCUCUGUCGGCAGGGACGAAUAAAUGACGGUACCUGCAAAGGAAGCAUCGGCUAACUACGUGCCAGCAGCCGCGGUAA
Molecule: ribosomal RNA, 451 nt
Filed under: uncultured bacterium
Lineage: Bacteria
Description: partial 16S ribosomal RNA
Rfam family: Bacterial small subunit ribosomal RNA
Source: RNAcentral